AAUAGAUACCCAGGUAGUCCUGGCCUUAAACGAUGGAUGCUUGGUGUCCGAGGUUACAUAGUCCUCGGGUGCCGGCGCUAACGCAUUAAGCAUCCCGCCUGGGGAGUACGGUCGCAAGACUGAAACUCAAAGGAAGUUGACGGGGACCCGCACAAGCGGUGGAGCAUGUGGUUUAAUUCGACGCAACGCGAAGAACCUUACCUGGGCUAGAAUGCCUCUGACAACCCUAGAGAUAGGGCCUUCUGGGUAAACCAGACGGAGUGCAAGGUGCUGCAUGGCUGUCGUCAGCUCGUGUCGUGAGAUGUUGGGUUAAGUCCCGCAACGAGCGCAACCCUUGUCAGUAGUUGCCAGCGGUUCGGCCGGGCACUCUACUGAGACUGCCGUUGAUAAACGGAGGAAGGUGGGGAUGACGUCAAGUCCUCAUGGCCUUUAUGUCCAGGGCUACACACAUGCUACAAUGGCAGGUACAAACCGCUGCAAACUCGCAAGGGGGAGCCAAUCGGAAAAAGCCUGUCUCAGUUCGGAUUGG
Molecule: ribosomal RNA, 529 nt
Filed under: uncultured bacterium
Lineage: Bacteria
Description: bacterial SSU rRNA
Rfam family: Bacterial small subunit ribosomal RNA
Source: RNAcentral